UUUCCUUUCUCUUUGCAGUAUUUUGAUGCCAGAGCUGACUGAUGGGUGCACAUGGUUCCUUCCUAUGUUCUUCCUUUGAAAAAAUAAACGUAUUUUGAUGCCAGAGCUGACUGAUGGGUGCACAUGGUUCCUUCGUAUGUUCUUCUUUUGAAAAAAUAAACGUAUUUUGAUGCCAGAGCUGACUGAUGGGUGCACAUGGUUCCUUCCUAUGUUCUUCUUUUGAAAAAA
Molecule: long non-coding RNA, 228 nt
Organism: Ornithodoros turicata
Lineage: Eukaryota; Metazoa; Arthropoda; Arachnida; Ixodida; Argasidae
Exons: 3
Source: RefSeq, a predicted model, not a curated record